GAUGAACGCUGGCGGCGUGCCUAAUACAUGCAAGUCGAGCGAACAGACGAGGAGCUUGCUCUUCUGACGUUAGCGGCGGACGGGUGAGUAACACGUGGAUAACCUACCUAUAAGACUGGGAUAACUUCGGGAAACCGGAGCUAAUACCGGAUAAUAUUUUGAACCGCAUGGUUCAAUAGUGAAAGACGGUUUUGCUGUCACUUAUAGAUGGAUCCGCGCUGCAUUAGCUAGUUGGUAAGGUAACGGCUUACCAAGGCGACGAUGCGUAGCCGACCUGAGAGGGUGAUCGGCCACACUGGAACUGAGACACGGUCCAGACUCCUACGGGAGGCAGCAGUAGGGAAUCUUCCGCAAUGGGCGAAAGCCUGACGGAGCAACGCCGCGUGAGUGAUGAAGGUCUUCGGAUCGUAAAACUCUGUUAUUAGGGAAGAACAAAUGUGUAAGUAACUAUGCACGUCUUGACGGUACCUAAUCAGAAAGCCACGGCUAACUACGUG
RNAcentral lists this ribosomal RNA (497 nucleotides) under uncultured bacterium. RNAcentral's name for it is "partial 16S ribosomal RNA". It matches the Rfam family "Bacterial small subunit ribosomal RNA", at positions 28 to 507 of the family's 1533-position model. The record is from RNAcentral.